CCCUUAGAUGUCCGGGGCCGCACGCGCGCUACACUGAAGGAAUCAGCGUGCUAAAACCAUUGUCGAAAGGCAUUGGUAAACCCAUUAAAAUCCUACGUGAUUGGGAUCGGGAAUUGCAAUUAUUUCCCUUGAACGAGGAAUUCCCAGUAAGUGUGGGUCAUAAGCUCGCGUUGAUUACGUCCCUGCCCUUUGUACACACCGCCCGUCGCUGCCCGGGACUGAGCCGUUUCGAGAAAAGCGGGGACUGCUGCUGUCGGGGCUUUCGGGCCUUGGCUUCGGUGGAAACCGCUUUAAUCGCAGUGGCUUGAACCGGGCAAAAGUCGUAACA
RNAcentral lists this ribosomal RNA (328 nucleotides) under uncultured eukaryote. RNAcentral describes it as "partial 18S ribosomal RNA". It matches the Rfam family "Eukaryotic small subunit ribosomal RNA", at positions 1470 to 1796 of the family's 1831-position model. The record is from RNAcentral.